UCCGCCCUCUGCCUCUGUGCGCUUCCCUCCACCGCUCCCCCCCUUCUAUUCAGGUCUCGCGUGGGAGGCGAUUCCUGCGCUGCUGAGUGCCCGCGCUUUUUCGGGGCCAGUCCCUCCCAACGAGGAAGCGACAGUUUCUAGGGCAGGAGGAUUCUGGAGCUGCUAGGCAUGCCAGAUCUUCCAUGGCCCCUUCCCUCUUGUAACCCAGCACAUCUUCAGAGUUGUCUGCUUUCAUCCAAGACAGCAGAAAAUGAACAAGUCCCAGGUAAGUUAUUUGUCCAUUCCCCACCUUUUUUUUUUUUAAAGUGGACUUUGUGAGAUUUGUAGGAUUCCAUAUGUUAAGAUGGGGAAAAUUAGUAAUUGAUAAAAAUCUAACUUUACAGAAAAAUAUAAAGUAACAUCAGGAGCAAGGCCAGGUUGGCUUAUAGAUACAUACUGAUCAUUAUAUAUCUUAGAGUUUCUAAGGUGAUCCACAAAUACAUCUCUGCUGUUUCUGAUAACCAUG
Molecule: long non-coding RNA, 505 nt
Organism: Mustela erminea (ermine)
Lineage: Eukaryota; Metazoa; Chordata; Mammalia; Carnivora; Mustelidae
Exons: 2
Source: RefSeq, a predicted model, not a curated record